CAGCCGCCGCGGUAAGACAGAGGAUGCAAGCGUUAAUCGGAAUAACUGGGCGUAAAGGGCACGCAGGCGGUGACUUAAGUGAGGUGUGAAAGCCCCGGGCUUAACCUGGGAAUUGCAUUUCAUACUGGGUCGCUAGGGUACUUUAGGGAGGGGUAGAAUUCCACGUGUAGCGGUGAAAUGCGUAGAGAUGUGGAGGAACACCGAAGGCGAAGGCAGCCCCUUGGGAAUGUACUGACGCUCAUGUGCGAAAGCGUGGGGAGCAAACAGGAUUAGAUACCCCUGUAGUCCAUGUCUCUUAUAC
Molecule: ribosomal RNA, 301 nt
Filed under: uncultured bacterium
Lineage: Bacteria
Description: partial 16S ribosomal RNA
Rfam family: Bacterial small subunit ribosomal RNA
Source: RNAcentral